RNAcentral lists this ribosomal RNA (253 nucleotides) under uncultured bacterium. RNAcentral's name for it is "partial 16S ribosomal RNA". It matches the Rfam family "Bacterial small subunit ribosomal RNA", at positions 524 to 776 of the family's 1533-position model. The record is from RNAcentral.
UACGUAGGGUGCGAGCGUUAAUCGGAAUUACUGGGCGUAAAGCGUGCGCAGACGGUUGCGUAAGUCAGAUGUGAAAGCCCCGGGCUCAACCUGGGAAUUGCAUUUGAGACUGCGUAGCUAGGGUGCGGAAGAGGGAAGCGGAAUUUCCGGUGUAGCGGUGAAAUGCGUAGAUAUCGGAAGGAACACCAGUGGCGAAAGCGGCUCCCUGGUCCAGCACCGACGUUCAGGCACGAAAGCGUGGGGAGCAAACAGG